RNAcentral lists this transfer RNA (73 nucleotides) under Strongylocentrotus purpuratus (purple sea urchin). RNAcentral's name for it is "tRNA-Lys". It matches the Rfam family "tRNA". Rfam says of the family: Transfer RNA (tRNA) molecules are approximately 80 nucleotides in length. Their secondary structure includes four short double-helical elements and three loops (D, anti-codon, and T loops). The record is from Rfam by way of RNAcentral. Lineage: Eukaryota; Metazoa; Echinodermata; Echinoidea; Camarodonta; Strongylocentrotidae.
GCCCGGUUAGCUCAGUCGGUAGAGCAUCUGACUUUUAAUCCGAGGGUCGCGGGUUCAAGUCCCUCAUCGGGCG